CCUACGGGUGGCAGCAGUGGGGGAUAUUGGACAAUGGGGGGAACCCUGAUCCAGCGACGCCGCGUGAGUGAAGAAGUAUUUCGGUAUGUAAAGCUCUGUCAGCAGGGAAGAAAGAAAUGACGGUACCUGACCAAGAAGCCCCGGCUAACUACGUGCCAGCAGCCGCGGUAAUACGUAGGGGGCAAGCGUUAUCCGGAAUUACUGGGUGUAAAGGGAGCGUAGACGGUUAAGUAAGUCUGGAGUGAAAGGCCGGGGCCCAACCCCGGGACUGCUCUGGAAACUAUUGAACUUGAGUGCAGGAGAGGUAAGCGGAAUUCCUAGUGUAGCGGUGAAAUGCGUAGAUAUUAGGAGGAACACCAGUGGCGAAGGCGGCUUGCUGCAGCGGAACUGACGCUGAUGCUCGAAAGCGCGGGUAUCGAACAGGAUUAGAUACCCGGGUAGUC
RNAcentral lists this ribosomal RNA (443 nucleotides) under uncultured bacterium. RNAcentral's name for it is "partial 16S ribosomal RNA". It matches the Rfam family "Bacterial small subunit ribosomal RNA", at positions 338 to 795 of the family's 1533-position model. The record is from RNAcentral.